CCCAGUCAGUGUGACUUUGUUAUGGUGGCCCCAGCCAACCAAGACAGGCAGUGUGGGGAAGAACAGGGGACAUCUAUGAUACUUAUUGUUCUGCUCUCCUGGUUGGGUUUUUACCAUGUGCAUGCAUUACUCUUAUAGUUAAAAAAUGAAGAAAACUGACUUGAGGAAAGUCAACGGCGCGUGGUGACUCACGCCUGUAAUCCCAG
This 206-nucleotide long non-coding RNA is filed under the name Pan troglodytes (chimpanzee). RNAcentral describes it as "long non-coding RNA NONPTRT014036". Lineage: Eukaryota; Metazoa; Chordata; Mammalia; Primates; Hominidae. The record is from RNAcentral.